AUGUAGGGAGAGGUCUAGAACUUGGUGAAUGCAUGAAAAANAGUGAGGCCANAGGUGAAAAGAAAAGAAAAAUGAUGUGAGAAAAAUNUGGUUGUGCUGAAAAGGAUGAACAAGUCUGAAAAUGAGAAAAAGAUCAGAAAAAGAAAUUGAAAAAGAGUCUUGAAAAGAAUGUCAGGGAAAGAGAACCANAGAAAAAGGAAAAAUUUGUAGGCUAGCCAAAGUUUGAGAAACUACUNCACUGAGUUCUAGUUUUCUCCCUUCUUUUUCACAUUUCUCUAGUCAUUU
Molecule: long non-coding RNA, 285 nt
Filed under: Vigna radiata
Lineage: Eukaryota; Viridiplantae; Streptophyta; Magnoliopsida; Fabales; Fabaceae
Description: long non-coding RNA (VRAD_LNC015237)
Source: RNAcentral